CCUACGGGGGGCUGCAGUGGGGAAUAUUGGACAAUGGGGGCAACCCUGAUCCAGCCAUGCCGCGUGUGUGAAGAAGGCCCUCGGGUUGUAAAGCACUUUCAGUGAGGAAGAACGCCUGGUGGUUAAUAUCCAUCAGGAAAGACAUCACUCACAGAAGAAGCACCGGCUAACUCCGUGCCAGCAGCCGCGGUAAUACGGAGGGUGCGAGCGUUAAUCGGAAUUACUGGGCGUAAAGCGCGCGUAGGUGGCUUGAUAAGCCGGUUGUGAAAGCCCCGGGCUCAACCUGGGAACGGCAUCCGGAACUGUCAAGCUAGAGUGCAGGAGAGGAAGGUAGAAUUCCCGGUGUAGCGGUGAAAUGCGUAGAGAUCGGGAGGAAUACCAGUGGCGAAGGCGGCCUUCUGGACUGACACUGACACUGAGGUGCGAAAGCGUGGGUAGCAAACAGGAUUAGAUACCCUUGUAGUC
This 465-nucleotide ribosomal RNA is filed under the name Vreelandella stevensii. RNAcentral's name for it is "partial 16S ribosomal RNA". It matches the Rfam family "Bacterial small subunit ribosomal RNA", at positions 338 to 795 of the family's 1533-position model. The record is from RNAcentral. Lineage: Bacteria; Pseudomonadati; Pseudomonadota; Gammaproteobacteria; Oceanospirillales; Halomonadaceae.